Molecule: long non-coding RNA, 516 nt
Organism: Dermacentor albipictus
Lineage: Eukaryota; Metazoa; Arthropoda; Arachnida; Ixodida; Ixodidae
Source: RefSeq, a predicted model, not a curated record
GUGUUGCCUUGCUUUGUGCGCGAAAGUUUAAUGUAAGAACGAUCUAGAAAAAAAUGAAAUAAAUACAUUUUCGACGAUCUCAUUUAACUGCCUAUGGUUGACAAAGGUGCCCGCUGCAUCUCGGAGCAUCACAAUUCAGGUGGAAACAUAUUAAUGAAGAAUGAGCAUUGCACAGCUUCUGAUUAUCGCAGCCGGACUAUGUGUGCUUUCCCCUGGCGUUAAAGGAUGCUUGCCAACAACGCACAGGAUUCGCUGUGUUCGUACAGACUUCUAUCCAGAGGCAACUUGUCCGGAUGCUGACAGUCCAAAGUGCAUUGCAGGACACGAGGUGUGCGCCUGUAGGCCGAAUAUGUACAGGAAUUACAGAGGGAGAUGCGUCCCGUUCAGCCAUUGCAAUCCGAGAAAAAAGCGGGGGUAAUUGAUCGUGUUCCGAAAAUAAAUAGACUCAGAUGGAGUUGCAAUGGUCAGCCUGUUUUCUUUCUGCGCCGUCAUUAAAACUUCUCUGUUUGAACCAUC